This 65-nucleotide transfer RNA is filed under the name Balta jinlinorum. Its description in RNAcentral is "tRNA-Thr". Lineage: Eukaryota; Metazoa; Arthropoda; Insecta; Blattodea; Pseudophyllodromiidae. The record is from RNAcentral.
GUUUUAGUAAUUUAAAAAAAAUAUUGGUCUUGUAAACCAAAACUAAGAUAAUAUCUUCUAAAACU